This 42271-nucleotide long non-coding RNA is filed under the name Octopus vulgaris (common octopus). Lineage: Eukaryota; Metazoa; Mollusca; Cephalopoda; Octopoda; Octopodidae. The record is from RNAcentral.
CGUGUGUGUGUGUGUGUGUGUGGCUGUGCGCACGUGUGUGUGUUAUGAGUUAGUGGUUGACAGAGUUGUCCGAGUGACUGUUUGGUUCAUGUAGUGCCGGGAUCCUUAGUUAUAUUUGUGUGGAGACACCAAGAGGCAUUUAUUUCGUUGAGGUUGACUGCUUGGUUGAUCAAUGUUGUGACAAGAAGUGCUUGUAACCUGUCCGCGGAGUGCCGAAGUUGAAAGAACAGGCAUUGCUCGAUGAACUCUGGAAAAUUUUCAGACCCCUAAAUGUUAGCCAAUAGCUAAACAGAGACGGUCGAUGGUGAAGGGCAGUGAAAUAAGAGAGUAGGGUGGGGUACAAAUGUUAGGGAAUAGAGAAGAGAGAGAGAGAGAGAAAAUGAAUCAUUGAUGGUACAGGUGAUGCUGUUUCACUGGAUGAGGAAGUGACAUAAGAGAGAGAACAGAAAAGAAAAUUAAAACAAAAAAAAAUGAAGAACAGCAAGUAAACAAAAAGCGAAAAUGGUUUCAAAGAAAUUGUGGAGCAGGGUUCAGUUUUCAGGGAUGAUGAAAUAUAGGGACAGAGAUGAGAGAUAGAAACGGAUGAGGUAAGUUGAGUUUAGAAUUACCGAAUUCCUCAGACACACAGUCACAAAACUCACAAAUUUCCCAGUAUCUCUUUUAUUUUAGCAUCAUCGUUAUCGUACUUUCUCUUUCUCUUUCUCUCCCUCUCUCUUCCCAUCUCAUUCUCUCUCAUUGUCUAUCCUUUCUUUCACUCUUUCUUUCUUUAGCUCUGUACCUUUGUCAGUCAGUAUGAAUAGUUUUUCUCUUUCUCUCUUCCCCUCUCCCAGAAACAAAACACAAACCAAUAACAGAACAUCAAGAAAUAGCAGCCAAAUCUCCCCCAAGGAUAGGACACGCUAUAUAAUGUAGUCCUACAUAUUUCUAAAGAGACAGGAUAGUCAUGGCAGGGAUGUCUUUCAUCACACAUCUGCUCGAACAGGGCUGGCCUGGGGCAAAACAAUGUCAAUAAAGCAGAUACAACCAAUAACACAUGCACACAUCCAUAUACACACGCACACACACACACACAAACUGACAUUUAAGCAUACACAAACCUACAAACCGAUGCACAAAUACAUACACAGACAUUCAUAUACACACACACUCACAAACUGAUCACAUGCACACACAUGCACAAACACACAUACACAAAUGCACAAACUGACACAGUUUCACACGUAAACUCAGACACACAUGCACACACACACUCCAACACAUUCCAACACAUACACACACACACACACACAUCCCCUCCAAACACACACACUCACACAAAGGCAGAUGCACAUACACACAAAGACAGACACAUAUACACACAGACACACAUACACACACACAGAGCAAUAAUGACAUGCACACACACACACACACACACAUAUAGCAACAAUCAUACAAACACACACACACACACAGCAACAGUGACGCAAACACACACACACACAGACAUGCACACAACACUCACACACAUAUACACAUACACACAUACUCACACAAACAGACACACACACACAAAAAUCCACAUGCAUGCACGUGCACACACACACAGAGAUACACACCUAGCAACAACGACAGAGAUAUAUGCACACACACAUACACAAAGACAGACACACACACACAUACUCACAGAAAGACAGACAUACACACACAAACAUAAAAAUGACACAAACACACACACAAACUCACAUACUCACAGAAAGGCAAACAGACACAUACAAAGACACACACACACACACACACACAGCGCGCACACAUAUACAUACACAGCAAAAAUGACACAAACACACACAGUCACAGCACUAUAGUUCUGCUUCCUCCAGAUACAUUCAACACAACUAUUGAUGCUGUAGUUGUUGUUAAAGAUGUUUAACCACAAACCAGCUCUGACUGGGAGUAGAUCUAUGCCUCAAAACAAUCCAACCGUGACCAAGUCACUUUUUUUCUUUUUGUUUUUUCCAGCUAUUAUGUAUGUCCUGUUUUCGUGUUAUUCAAACAUUGCUUUAGACAUACAUCUGUUUAGGAAUGUUUGUAGUUUGAUUUGAAGAACAUCUGACUGUUAUUUCUAGCACAUUGAGAGACCAUGUAGUAGUAGUGGUGGUGGUGGUGGUAACAAAAGUGGUGGCAGAGGUGGUGGUGGUGGUGUUGGUGGCGUUGGUGGUUGUGGUGGUGUUGGUGGUGAAAGUAGUGGCAGUAGUAGUUAUUGGUUUGGUAUGAUUGUUUGUGUAAUUGUUGUUGCUGAUGGUAUUUUUUAAAAUGGUUAUUGUUGGUGCAUGUGAAUGUAUGUGUGGUUGUUGUUUUGGUUGAUUCUGGCAUGACUAUUGCCAUUGUGGUGACUGUGGUAUUGGUAUGAUUGUUGUUGUUGUUAACAUGUUGGAGUAGUUAUUGUUGCUGCUGGUAUGAUUUUCGUUGAUAUUAGUGUGGUUGUUGUUUUUGGCAGUGGUGAUGUGGUUGUUGUUGUUGGCAGUGGUGGUGUGGUUGUUGCAUGUGAUAGUGUUUCACAACUUUAGACUGGUACUUUGUUUUAUCAAUCCUAAAAAGGUGUAAGGCAUAGCUGACCUUAGCAGGAUUUGAAACCAGAAUGCAGCCAGCUGGAAUACAUACAGAAAGGCAUUUUGACCCAUCCGUCAUGUAUCCAUGUACAUAUAUAUGUAUAGACCCCCUCCAGUUAUGAAUGACCACGGGAUUGCACCUAAGAAGUACCCCUCUGAGACACAAGUCUGGGCAAGGUUGUUUAUGGAAGACCAGCAGUUGCCCAUGCAUGCCAGCCUUCUCUCUCUAUGCCACCAAUGUUAUCCAAGGGAAAGGUAAAGGCCAAUACAGCUUGGCACCAGUGAUGUCACAACUCAUUUCCACAGCUAAGUGAACUGGAGCAAUGUGAAAUAAAGUGUGUAGCGCAAGAACACAACACACAGCCCAGUCCAAGAAUCAAACUCACUGCCUCAUGAUUGUGAACCCGGUGCUCUAACCACUGAGCUAGGUGCUUUCACAUGUGUGUGUGUGCAUACGUGACCACGUGUGUGUGCAUUAAUAUAUAUAUGUAUACAUAUAAUAUAUAUAUACACACAUAUAUAUCAUCAUCAUUGGUCAUCAUCCCUGUAGUUAUCAUCAUCAGCAGUCGUUAUCAGUAUUGUCACCAUCGUCAUCAUCAUUUAACUUCCACGCUCCAUGUUGGCAUGGGUUAGAUAGUUUAUCAAGACCUAAUGGGCCCAAGGAUUACAUAAUGCCCCAGUGUCUGCUUCAGUAUGGUUUCUGUGGCUAGAUGCCCUUUGUAAUGCCAGCCACUUUACAGUGUGUACAAGGAGCUUUUUUCGUGCCAUCAGCACUAAUGGGACUGUCAGGCAAUUUGCAAGACAAUGAUCCCCACCCCAGGGGAAAACUUUACAUUAGAAGGGAAGGAGCAAAAGAUGAGUAAAAAUAUGAGAGAAGGGGGUCAGGGAAGAACAGAUUUCUUGCUGUAGAGGAGUCACAUGACAACUCACAUAUUAAGAGAGAGGGUAGGAGUGAUUGAGAGGAGCUAAAAAGUGGUAAGGGGGCAGUGAAACAGGAAAUGACUGACAAGGCUAAGCAACAGCAGAAUAUUAAUGAUGAAAUAGUAGACAGGAGAAGAACAAGAUGACACACAAAUGAGUGAACACACAAAAGAAAAUAACAUGCAGCAAAUGUAUUUGGAGUUUUUAAAUAAUUAAUAAUAACAGAUUGACUCACUUGUGCAGAACACAUCCUCAUCAUCAGAUGAAUAGUAACUUAAUAAAAUAUAUAUUUAUCUUUUAUAUAAUUAUAUGAGGUUUAUUAUACAUUCAGUAAGCUUGAUAUUGUUAUGUUCAGCAAGCAAUGUAUCUAUUUUAAACAUCAUAAAGAAAAGACUCUUCUGCUGGCCUUAAUCAACUGUUCCUGGCCUUAAUCAAAAGUUCCCUCCAAGGCAGAAGUCUGGGCAAGAUUAUUUGUAGAAGACUAACACUCACCCAUGCAUACCAGUUUCCCAUCUCCACACCACCAAUGUUGUCCAAGAGAAAGGCAAAGAACAAUACAGCUUGGCACCAGUAAUGUUGCAGCUCAUUUCUACAGCUGAGUGAACUGGAGGAACAUGAAAUAAAGUGUCUUGCUGAAAAACACAAUACACAGCCCAGUCCAGGAAGCACACCCACAACCUCGCAAUUGUAAGCCCAGCAUUCAAACUAUUGGCCCAUGUGAUUUCACAUAAUUCAAAUAUCAUAUAUGCAUGCGAUAUUAACUCCAACCCUCAUUUGACUCAGUUGAGAGUUAAAGCAGGCAUUUUCCAAAUAUCUAAUGAAGUGGACAUGUCCUAUGUCUGCAAAACUUUAAUGUGGAGCUGAGUCAACAUGGUGACAAUUAUGCAUGUGUAUACAUAUAUCAUCAUGAAUGAGUGCACAGCAACACACUCACACACAUAGGUCCCCCAGCAUGGCUGCAGUCUAAUGACUAAAACAUGUAAAAAAUAAAAGAUAUAAAGAAUCCUUGAAUAACACAGAUGUAGGAGUGGCUGUGUGGUAAGUAGCUUGCUUACGAACCACAUAGUUCUGGGUUCAGUCCCACUGUGUGGCACCUUGGGCAAGUGUCUUCUACUAUAGUCUCGGGCCAACCAAAGCCUUGUGAGUGGAUCUUGUAGACGGAAACUGAAAAGAAACCCGUCAUAUAUAUGUAUAAAUAUAUAUAUGUAUGUAUGCAUGUGUUUAUGUUUGUGUGUCUGUGUUUGUCCCCCCAACAUCGCUUGAUAACUGAUGCUGGUGUGUUUACAUCCCCAUAACUUAGCGGUUCGACAAAAGAGACCGAUAGAAUAAGUACUAGGCUUACAAAAAAUAAGCCCUGGGGUUGAUUUGUUUGACUUAUAUAUAUAUAUAUAUAUAUAUAUAUAUAUACCUUUCCACUGGCUAACUUAGACAAUAAGAUUUUGAAAACAAAUUAUGUCCAGAUUAAAUUGUGUUACUUCAAUAACAGAAUUAUCCAAAAUAAACUUUGUCAUCGAAUAAAUUUUCAACGAAUGAAAUCAUCGUGUUUAUGAGAGGGUAGAGCAAAAGUAGAUAAAAAAAUUUAAAUUGUAAAUUACACUGUGGAAGAAUAAUUUUAACGAAUUAAAAACCCCAAAUUUGCUAAAUUCAUUUGUCAUUCGUUUCUUGCCAAAAUGUUCAUUAUACAACUGUGACCUGAUCAUUAACAUAGUUCCACUGAAACUGUUUAAAAUUUAGUUAAUGACCAUUUCUUAUAGUCCUUCGAGGUUUGCCUUCUGUUUUUGGUGAACUUACAAGCAAGAGGUCUGCUUAUUCAUGUUGAUUUGCUUUAAUCUCUUGACAUUAGUCAUAGAUUGGUCAUCAUUAGUCAUAUUCUGGUUCUCUUCUUUUGUCUGCUGACAACAAUGCAUAUGUCAUUGUUAGUAUUCCAUCAUUUCUGUUCUGUUCUUUUUCUUUAUACAUUCUUUUUUUACUUCUUUUCCAACUCGAAAGUUAGUUUUAAAUUUAUGCAUACCCUGUUUACUAUGCAUAAAAAUAAAGUGUUUUGGGACAUUUCUCAAUUGUGCGUACAAGCUGACAGAAACAGUUUCCUUCUAUGUAGAUUUAAAUUACAUUUUAGAAUUUUGAACACAAGCUAAUCAGGAAAUAAUGUCAAUAGAUUUCUAUGUAUCUAUCUGUAUAAAAUUACAUCUGUACAUACACAUAAAAAUAUACACACACACACACCUAUCUAUUCAUCCAUACAUACAUAUAUCCAUACAUAGGCGCAGGAGUGGCUGUGUGGUAAGUAGCUUGUUUACCAACCACGUGGUUCUAGGUUCAUUCCCACUGCAUGGCACCUUGGGCAAGUGUCUUCUACUAUAGCCUCGGGCCGACCAAAGCCAUGUGAGUGGAUUUGGUAGACGGAAACUGAAAGAAACCCAUCAUAUAUAUGUAUACAUUUGUGUGUGUGUGUGUGUGUGUGUUUGUGUGUCUGUGUUUGUCCCCCCCAACAUCGCUUGACAAUUUGCUGGUGUGUUUACGUCCCUGUAACUUAGCGGUUUGGCAAAAGAGACCAAUAGAAUAAGUACAAGGCUUCCAAAGAAUAAGUCCUGAGGUCGAUUUGCUCCAGCAUGGUGCUUCAGCAUGGCUGCAGUCAAAUGACUGAAACAAGUAAAAGAGAGAGUAAGGAGUAUACAUACAGGCAUACAUACAUGCAUGUAUACAUACAUAUAUAAAUACAUACAUACAUACAGACAGACAGACAAACUAACAAAAAAUACCCUGUUCAUGUUGUUGAAAUUCCAAUGAAGGAACCUUGGAUCUAGGUUAGAAACUGACUCUUUCUCUAUUGACAAGAAAUCUAGAAAUAAAACUGAAUAAUAAUUAACUGACUGACUCACACACACACACACACACACACACACACAUACACGUAUUUUUUAGCUGAUAACUUGAAACUUUUUUUUGUUUAAUGCAACACACAAAUAAGAAUAACCUAAGAAUAUUCAAUGAAAAUGAUAGAUAACUUUGUUGAUAACCUUGUUUCCUUAAUUUCCUAUAACUGCUUCCAAGGCAGCUAAAAGGAGAGAGACAUUUUAUCAUAAAUUCAUAUCGUUACAUUAUCAAUUAAAAGAAAUUAUCAUUACUAAAUAGAUUGUAUUUAUUAUUCUGAACAGAGGAGCUUGUUCAAAUUCAUAAAUAUAAUCCCUUAAAUAAGUGUUUAUAAAACUAAAGCGGAAGUCACAAACAGCCUUUUACUUCUGCUGGCCUUAAUCAAUUGCACCUGGAAAGUUCCCCUUACAGGCAGAAAUCUGAGCAAGGUUAUUUGUAGAAGACCAACACUCACCCAUGCAUACCAGUCUCCCAUCUCCAUACCACCAAUGUUGUCCAAGAGAAAGGCAAAGGCUGAUACAGCUUGGCACCAGUAAUGUUGCAGCUCAUUUCUACAGCUGAGUGAACUGGAGCAACAUGAAAUAAAGUGUCUUGCUCAAGAACACAAUACUCAGCCUGGUCCAGGAAGUGCACUCACAGCCUCACUACUGUAAGCCCAACACCCUAACUAUUAGGCCAUGUGUUUUCGCAUAGUUCAAAUAUCAUAUAUGCAUGCGAUAUUAACUCCAACCCUCAUUUGACUCAGUUAAAAUUGCAGACACAUGCCAGACAACAUCAUAAAAGAAGAAACUUCUUGACACAUGCAAACGAGGAACCUUGUUAAAGAAUUUUCACGUGACUGUCAGGUUGGAUCACAUGACAUUAUCAUGGAAAACAUACAAUAUUCUUUUCUACUCUAGUCACAAGGUCCAAAAUUUUGGGGGAGGGGGGCAGUCAAUUAGAUCAACCCUAGAAUGCAACUGGUACUUAAUUUAUUGACCCCGAAAAGAUGAAAAGCAAAGUUGACCCUGCUGGAAUUUGAACUCAGAAUGUAAAAACGGAUGAAAUACCUAUUUCUUUACUACCCACAAGGGGCUAAACACAGAGAGGACAAACAAGGACAGACAAAGGGAUUAAGUCAAUUAUAUCAACCCCAGUGCGAAACUGGUACUUAUUUAAUCGACCCCGAAAGGAUGAAAGGCAAAGUCGACCUCGACAGAAUUUGAACUCAGAACGUAACGGCAGAUGAAAUACAUCCGUCGUGCUAACAUUUCUGCUAGCUCGCCACCUUUAAAAACGGAUGAAAUACCACUAAGCAUUUUGCCCAGCAUGCUAACAUUUCUGCUAUCCCGCAGUCUAGGAAAACAUACAAUAUUGCGAUAAAACAAUGAUAUUGUGCAUAUAUCUAUAGAGAGUCUAUCUGAAUGAAGUAACAAAAAAAGUAUUGCUUGAUUUUAUGUAUUUCAUCAGCAUAAAGAAAGGACCAACAGAUCCACAUAUUUUUUUUUCCUUCUAAGCAUAAAAAAUGUAAAACAUUAACAAAUAAUGUCAUACCAAAAUACGCAUAGACUUUUUCCUGUUCGUGAAAAUACAAUAUAUUGAAAAAUUGAUGAAUAAUGACAUAAAAAAAAAAAUAGAUGACAUCUCAAAUCAUUUGAAGAGCACUUUAUAACUAUUGAUUAAGAAUUAUAAAUAAUUUUAUAUAUUAAAGAUAUAUCUAGCUUUAGGGAUCAGAAAAGUCCCUAAAGUGCAGAAUGAAAAAAAUAUGCAUAUGUAUGUUAAUGUUAAUUGUGUUGUAAAUAUGUUAUGAUGAAGAUGAUUGUAAAUGAUUCAAUGUAACACCAGAAGAAUUCCUCAAGAGUAUUCCUCAAGAGCUUUUACCAAUCUAAUAUUGAUUACUAUUUCUCCUCAACAACAUUAAGUUGAUACUGAAUUGAUUAAAACUUUUUCAUGCACAGACACUGUAACAGUUGAAGUGGUCGACCUUUCAUAAGAUCUUCAUCAAAUAGACUUCAAGUUUAUAAACACACACUAUACAUAAUAGAUAGAUAGGUGAAGUUCAUAAUUACUUGCAAUACAAAGAAUAUACAUUGAAAUUAUGACCACAUUGGAUAUCUUCAAGGAAAGAACCGGAAAGAUCUUUAACUUUCUAUUGAAUUGAAAGAAAUAGAAUAAUGUGCUGUUCAUUCAUUAAAUUUUUCUUUUUAGUUCUCAACAGGCAAUUCACAUCUCUUGCAAUAGUAUUUAUGUGAGUACCGCAUAUUAGUUAAUCUCUGUAUCUUUAUAAUGACUUCCUUCUUUCACUAUCUCCAAUAAGCAAUGCAAAAUCAGAGAUAAAACAAACUCAAUUUCAUUGGAAGCACAAGUAUAUCUAAAUUAAGUUCAUUCUUUCCCAUGGAAUAAAAUAAUUUCUCCCAAACAACACCAAAGUCCAAUUUCACUUUUCAUUUUUCAUUCACUUGUUUACCAUUCAUUUUCCCAAGCUAGAAUGAGUUUGAUUGGAAUUUUAUUUGAGGGCGGAUUUUACAGCUGGAUUCUCGUGCCGGUGGCACGUAAAAGCACCCACUACACUCUCGGAGUGGUUGGCAUUACAAAGUGCAUCCAGCUGUAGAAACUCUGCCAGAUCAGACUGGAGCUUGAGUGCAGCCAUCUGGUUUGCCAGACCUCAGUCAAAUCAUCCAACCCAUGCUAGCAUAGAAAGUAGAUGUUAAAUGAUGAUUAUGAUAAUGAUGAUGAUGAUGAUGAUGACAGGCUUCUUUGAUGAUGAUGAUGAUUCCCUUCUUAUUGUCAAUCCUUACCUCCUUUUCAAGUAAGGAAUAACUUUAUUCCACAAGCUUUCAAAAGCACAAAGUGACUUGUCGUGAUGUCAUCAAAGGAUAUGAACAUCAGCACUUCAGGGAUGAUGAGCAUGACAUGACCAAAACCUAACUUCAAGUACCAAGGCUCCAACAUACAAUAUGACAGGGAUCACCUCACUGAUGUCAAAAUGUAUGUUAAUGCCACAUGGUUAAAGUUAACACGAACAUCUAAAGACCUUGUGAUUGGAAGAUAUUUAUGCCCUUGAAAGCAAAGAACCAGGGGCCCUUUACAGAUUGAGUGUUUCCCACCAGCAAUGAGGUAUAAACCGACUCAUUAUGUCAUAGAAAUAUAGAUAUUUUAUUGCACUUUGGAGCUAAUUUGCCUGGACCAUGCCUUGAAUAAAAACGUGCUGCUUGACAUAGAAGUGGUACCAAUCACUAAAAAGUUGUGUAACAUGUGCCUCCACUGAAAUGGGUAUAUGACAUGCCAUGAAGAACAAGUAGUAGUAAAGGCAUUGUUAAUAAUCAGCUCAAAUGUGUGACAGUAUGGAGGGUCAAAGAAUCAGUAGUUUGAGAGAUCUACAACAGGUCAACUUCACUCUGUUGAACAUUGUUGAAAAAAUCCAAGUGUGGAGAAGUAUGCAUGAAAAGAGACUCCAUUUGAGGGAUAACAGAAGAUUAGAUGAUGAAUAAUUACAAUAUAUUUGCAUUAUAAUUCUCAAUAAUGUAAUAGUGUGAAAAUAUUCUGCAUGAAGCUGAAGCGUAUUGCUAUAUUGUUCUUGUUGAACACUCGAUGGAAUUUGUAGGCCUCCAAGGAAUGUUUGCUGAUAAGAGAAGAGAAUUAAUCUAGAGUAAAAUGAGGUUGAUAAGCAAACUGCUGAAAUAUAGAGUUAUGUUUGCUGAAAGAUGAACAUCUCAAAAAACUUCAUCUUAUAUAUGCAUUGUGCUGAUAUCUCCCCAGAGAGUACCACAUAGGACUCAUGAUGGCACCGUGAUGAUAAAUUUUUUAACAGAUAACUUCCUCAAAGACUUACAUGACUUGAAUUAAACACUUGCAAUAAUACUCAAGAGGAACAGGAACCAAGACAGUUUCUACUUGGUCUUGUUGCUCACCUACUAAAAAUAGCAGUCAAAUUUCCUUCAAAUUACACACAGUGGACAGUGUAGUGCGACAUACACUAUUUGAGUUAAAAGAUGGAAUGGUUAUGGUUUGGAUCGCCUUUAACUGUAGGCCUGCUAGAUCUUGAUUGAUAUAAGGGCUAACAGCACUCACUGAAGUAUCCCUUUCUCUCUCCAGCAAAUAACCUCCUACAAGUAACAGCUAAAUUUCUCUCAAAUCACAUGAUAAUGCAGUAAAUAAGGAAAGAAUACUUUAGAUAAUGGUAGUUCAAAGUAACUUAAAAAGAUAGGACAGUUAUGAAAUGAAAUGCAUUUAGGCAAGGAUGGUUAAGGUAAAACAAUAACCAAAAAAAUCAGCACUUUCCAUAUAUAUUUGGAGAUAAAAAGAUAAAAGAAAGACCAGAAGUAUUAUCUGAGUGAUCCUGAACAAAGUAGCAAUGUUUACAAAUGGACCAAAGCACUGUGAUUUCUGUCUAGCCAAAAACUUUCACAUUUUCUCACAACAUCCUAAUCUUAAGCAAAAUAAAAUUAAAAUGGUUCAACUUUAAUUGCAUGUAGAGUAACUUGAUUAACACCACAAUUACUUGCCAGUCACUGAUGUAUAUGGAUAGAUGAUUAUUUUAAUUUAAGAUUGCUUCAAUUGCAUAUGUCGGAUUUUUAUUCAACUGAGCAGAUAUUUGCAAUAUCAAUGAAUGUUUUAUUCACUGCUUCCUAUAUGAGGGGUGAAAAAUUUAAUCUAAGCAUGUAUAUGAACAUAGUUAUUUAAAUUUAAAUUCAAAUAACUAUGUUCUCUAAACAGCAAAAUUCCCCGCAGAGAAUUAUUUUCUGCAGAAUUAUUUCCGGUAUUUUAGCGAGCCAAAACAAGGACUUUUGAAAGAUAACCCCAAGUGUAAUUGGUAGAACUGUAUACAUGUUCAAUCAAAUGCGGACAUCUCAUGUAUAGUUCGGCAAAUUAUAUUUGCAUUGACGAUCAUACUGAAGAGCUACGGACAAUUAUGUAAAUAAUUUUGUGUAAGGGUUAAUAGCAAAACUAGUUUAUGAUUAAUCUAUAUUCUGUUUCUUUUCAUUUGUCUUGCUCACUUAUGUUCUGGCGUUUGCUAAAUUUUCUUGAAAACAUUCCUUUUUUAGUGGUAAGGCUAUAGUGGAUCUACUUGUAGCAUAAUGGAUGUCCACCUAAUGGUCAUCCCUAUUGUAUAUAUAUAUAUAUAUAUAUAUAUAUAUAUAUAUAUACACACAUGCACACAUAUUUUCAAUAGAUGAAGGGUUAGAGAAUUUAAUUUUAUUGACUAAAUUCUUCUUUGUUUGUUUUGAACUUUGGCUUAAUUUUUAAGAAUGUAAGUAAAUAGAUCUAACAAGUUAAUGCGUUGUUUCUUUUACCAUAAUUAUCAUGUUUGUUUGUUUUUCUUUUUUGUUUUUUUAUCUGAAAGAUAUUUGAUCAAUGAAGAAUACUUCUCAUUUGAAGAGAAAACAAAUUAGACACAUAUUAAAUAACAUAGAUCAAUUAAAUGUGAAACUGACAAAGUGUCCAUGAGUUAAUAUCAACACAAAAUGGCCUUUUAUGACAUAAUUCAUUAUCUUAGUGGAGUAUACAAUUAUUUACUUUAUAACACUUACUGCAUCCACCACCACUACCACCACCACCACUUUAUUUUCUAUUAAUCAGAGUCUGACUCUGAAGUAAUAAUGUCAUGUAAUAAAUCAUACAAAUCAUACACCCCGUCUCACCAAAUAGAAUGUCUCUCAACGUUAGCUGCACAGAACUUUUACAUUUAUCACUCUGGAGAUAAUAAUACAGGUUAGAACUGCUACCAUUCUAAUUUUGCUUGUUGAUUGGAUCAAAUAAACCAAUCAGUGAACUGCACUAUAAUAAGUCAGCUGAUACAGUGAAACUAAAAAAAAAAGAAGAAAAAAGAAAGAAAUGAAAUAAAAUAAAAAUCAAAUAACGAAAGUUAAACUAAUUUAUAGGAGAAAUAAAUUAAUCAAUAUGUCAGCUAAUUAUAGAUGUAAAGCAAUUUAUGAUUGAGUUUUUGGUUACUUGAGAAGUGAUAGAGAUAAGUGAUAGACAACUUUGAGAAAAUACAAUUUUUAGUAGAAAGGAAAUAGAAAGAAAUCUUAAAAUUACAAAAAAAGUGACACUAGAAUGGUGACUGUGUAGAUAAGAACAACUUAAUUUUUAAAAGUUGCAAAAAUAUAGGUUUUCACUUCAAGCUUUUGUCAUGGCAGAAUUAAUUAAAAAUCAAUAUUAAAGUGAUUUUAUUCCUCUUCUUUCUUUCUUUUUUUUUUUUUUUGCAGUGCAAAAUUGUUAAGUACUAAUAUUUCACAAUAAAAAAGAAAAAGAAGAAAUGAAAAUCAUAAAAUUAGAAUGGAAUGUGAUUUCUAAAUCCGGUUAUUGUAGCUAUAUGUUUUGUAUCAGAUAUUGAUCUUGUUGAAAUGAACUCUUUCCAAGUAGAUAUUUCGUGAUUGUCUGUCUACACAAGUCUAUAUUUGCUAUUUGAAGUAAAAAAAGGAUAAAAGAAAAGGAGUAAGGAUAGAUUGUUUGUAAUCCACUUCUGGUCGUAUCCCACUUCAAGCCUGAAGCAUUUUGGUUGCUCCCUUGACAUGUUAUUGCUGCUGUCCUAACUGGAUACUAACCAAGUGCUGGCUUGCUCAGUCUUAAUACUCAUUUUUGCUAGCUAAGUAGAUUGGAACAGCAAGAAAUAAAAUGCCUCACCCAAAUACAUAAUAUGCCUCUCAGACUGAGAACCAAACCCUUGACCUUAUGAUCAAGAGCCUAGUUUCCUAACCACUAGGCUAUAGGUUUUCUAAUAUCUACAAUAAAGAAUACUCUGUAUACAGUUGUGGCCAAAAGUUUGGAACAUAGAUCUGAAAAUUUCUUCUAGAUAUUGAACCAUUAGAUCAUUUUUAUUAGGUAAGUAUAUCUCUACAUUGUAUAUAUUUGAAAUGAAUUGUACUUGGACGUAACAAUUUUAAUGUUUAAAAAACGUCCCAAAUUUUUGGCCAUGAUUGUAGAUAUAAAUUCAGAAAAAGAAAAUUGUAAGCUUUCAUGAAGAAUAACAAGACAAUGAAGUCCUACUGACAAUUCUAGGAUGGUGUUGCUUCAGCACACGCAAACAGAAUAAUAAUAAUGAUGCAGUACCAGGCAGUGGCUCUCAUGGCUUCCAAUAUUAACUGAUUGGAAGUGUUAUCAUGGACAUUUGUUUUGUCUUGGUAUAAGAGAUGGACUGCAGUAAAUAUUCUGCUCAAUACCACAGAUUUGCUUGUCAGUUGCUUGACCUUAACCAGUGGCUGACAAUAUGUGCAUCUCUGAUCACGAGCAGAAAAGUGAGGGAGCAUCAUAGCCAUGUGUUGAGAGGAAUCCUUUGGAGUUUUAAAUCACUCACCUCUGGAAACAUGGGUGUUUUGUUCAUCCUCCUUAAAACAACCCUUAUUCAGGAACCUUUUCAAUAGGAUGGGCUACUCAACCCGAAGAAAAUUCUAACUGGGCCCCUCCUACAAGGUCAUGAACUGUUUAUCUUGAUAUGAGAUCACUAUGUGCACAUAUGGUUGUGAUGCAUGUGCCUGAUGUACCCUUAUCAGACAGGUAGUCAUGAUGGGUAUAUUGGGCUUCAUAUAACUGUACCUCAGUGUUACUUUGAUGGCAUGCACUGUUCUCUCACUCAAUGACAAUUAUAAUCCUUUCUAUGAUAGGACAAGGCCUGACACUUUGGAGGAGGAGGCUAGUCGAUUACAUUGACCUCAGUGUGUAACUGGUACUUAUUUCAUCAACCCUGAAAGGAUGAAAGGCAAAGUCAACCUCAGCAGAAUCUGAACUCAGAAUGUAAGGACAGACAAAAUACCACUAAGCAUUUUGCCCGGUGUGCUAAUAAGUCUGCCAGCUCACUGCUUUAUAUAAAAAUAAUAAUAAUAAUAAUAAUAAUAAUAAUAAAGGCAAAGAACAGUGUAGUAAGAGCAGCAAACUUCUAGACACACAAGCUCUAUUAUAAUAUUAUAACAUAAAACCGUAUUUAGCGGAAGUUCGUUGAAAUAAAAAUAUCAAAGAGGCCUACAGACAUUGUAAUCAUCAUUAAUUUCUAAUUGCCAAACACAAUGUAAAUACAAAGUUCAAUCUUGUGGUUGUUAAAAGUCAAGAAGUCUUUUUGCUUCAAGAUAGUUGCUACGCUUCUUUAGUUCACAGAUCAAGUUAAAUGUCAACUGUCUUGAUGAAAAUGUUCAUAUUUAAAGUAAGCCUUGUACAAACAUAGCUGUAAACAAAACAAUAUAUAAAUAUAUUGGUAUUGCUAUCUUAUGGUCUUGCCAAUUAAGUAAGAUGUGCUUUCUGAUGAGGCCUAAUAAGACCGGAAUAUGUCUGCUUUCAUUAGUUGGUUUUAGAUACAAACUUGACUAUCUGCAUUAUCUAUAUUAUACAAAAAUUUCAAUCAACACUUCUUAUUAGAGUUACUCUUUUACUUGUUUCAGUCAUUUUACUGUGGCCAUGCUGGAACACCGCCUUGAGUUGAAGAAAUCGACCUCAGGUUUUAUUCUUUGUAAGCCUAGUACUUAUCCUAUCAGUCUCUUUUGCUGAACCACUAAGUUAUGGGGAUGUAAACGCAUCAGUUGUCAAGCAAUGUUGGGGGACAAACACACAUAUAUAUAUAUAUAUACAUGCAUUCGAUGGGCUUCUUUCAGUUUCUGUCUACCAAAUCAACUCACAAAGCUUUGGUCGGCUCAAGGCUAUAGUAGAAGACAUUUACCCAAGGUGACAUGCAGUGGGACUGAACCCAGAACAAUGUGGUUGGUAAGCAAGCUACUUACCACACAGUCACUCCUGUGCCUAGAGUUAUCUAUUUUGUUGAUUUCAGAUUUUAAACUUUUCUCAAAAAGGAAUUUGUUUUUCCUUUCCUGCUCAUUGCCUGAAUAAUCUCAGGUAAUUGAAGAUUUUCAUUUCACUGUAUUACAUAUGUGAGAUGCUACUUUAUACAUAUUUAGUAAGCAGAAAAAAAAACCCUCUUAAAAUUUCUUCUCUCAGCCUUAUCAUUGUCAAUAUCGCUGGUAAAGAUGAAGAGAGAAUAUGACAAUCCACUACGUUGGUCAUAUCUCUCUUUAUGCUUGAAGUUGUUUGGUUGUACCACUGAUUUGGUAACACUGCCAUGCUAACUUAAUGCUAUAUAAUUGCUUACCAUAAACAAUUUCGUGUUCCCUAAAUUUCAAUGUGGUCAACCAGAACUGAAGGAUACUGCUUUUAUGGAAGUGAUGCUCAUUUGCAACUAUUAUAUGAAGUUAAUACAAUCCAUUCAGAAGGCUCGGGUUGGCCUGAGGUCAUAGUAGAAGAUACUGGCCCUAAUGACCAAAGAAGUUGACUGAACUCAAAAUCACGUUGUUGGAAGGUAAAGGGUUUCUGUUGACCAAACUCUACUCACAAGGCUUUUAUCAACCCAAGGCAUUUUUUGGAACAAAAGACUUGUGCUGCACAUUGGGAUGAAAUUUGGAAUUAUAUGUUUGCUGAGCAAACUUCUUAACCACAGAGCCAGGCAUGUUUCUGUUUCUAUGGACAUUUAGUUUUAUUGUGAAGGAAAUAAUAAGGUUGCAAACUCCAAAUUAAAGAUAGAACUUUCACACCAUGUUAACCCUUUCAUUACUGAAUUUAUUUUGAGGGGUUCUGUGUUUCUUUCAAUUACAUUAAAUAUAACAAAGAAUUUCGUGAAAUAACUUAGUUAUCAUUAAGCUAGUGUUAGGAACAUAAAUUGUGACUAAGGUUUGGUGGAAGGUUCUAUUUCAUAACUUAUGAAAACAAGGCAUUUGUACUACAGAGCAAGAGCCGGUUUCAGCCGGGUUGGUAACGAAAGGGUUAAUGAUACGAGCUCAAUCAUGUAGAAAAAUAGUUAUUAAUAAAAAAAAAAGUUCUUAUCAUCACUUAUAUUAGUUUAAUAUCGGUAUAUUAAUGCCAGUAGGACAAUAUUUUACUUUAUGAAGAUUUAAAAUAUUUAGUUGAUGAGAUCCCUGUCAAUUUUCUUCUGGUAGGUGAUUGAUGGAUCUAUCUGUUGCUUGGUCUAGCGCUAACAUCAGAACCAUGCUAAAUGGUUGGUAUUAGGAAAGGCACCCAGCUGUAGAAACCAUGUCAAAGCAGACAUAGAAUCUGGUGGAGCCCUCUGGUUCAUCUGUUUUUGUCAAACUGUCCAAUCCAUGCCAGCAUGGAAAAAAAGGAUGUUCGAUAAUGAUGAUGAUGAUGAUGAUGAGUUUGUUUCAAGUAUUCAUGUCAGAUCUCUGAUCUAGUGAUAACUUGAUAUCCUGGUAUACAGCUUUCUACUUCAGCAGUCUUAUGAAUCAUAGAUUCUCCACCACCAACAACACCAGCCCUACCACCACUACAACCAUCACCACCACCACCAGUCUCAGAAGCCCUUGCAUAAAAACAUCAUGGGCACUGCCCUACCUCCUUUUUAUAGAACCUAAAAGAAAAAUUCACUCAACCAUAAAAUCAAUUACUAUCAGUAGACACAUUAAUGUAAUUACUAUUUAUAAUAAUUACUAUUUCAUACAAUUACUAUUUCCCCCAAAAGUCUACGUCAGCAUAAUAAUUAUAUUACAAUUUUAUACAGAAAAAUGUAAUUCAACAAUUAUUUGAUUUCCAUUAAUUCUAAAAGUCUGUAAAAAUUCUUUAUCCUUCUAAAUACAUAAAUGAGACUCUAAAAAAAACCAGCCAGCCAGCACACUGUUUCUGUUGUUUUUUUUUUCUCUAAUUGUGAUAAACAAUAGAAUUGUGUCAUACUUAAAUAUUCAGUUAAUAAGUAUUAAGUUUGUUUUUUUUUUUAAUAAUUAAAUGGAAUUGUUCAGCUCCCCUUCAACGAUGCAAUUUAUCUGAAGACAAAGAAACAAAAUGGAAAAACAAAACAAAAAACUAACAAGCUUUAUGUUCUAAUUAAUUAUUCAGAAACAAAAGAGUCUUGAAUAUCUGUCAGACGGUUAUCAUUUUUAUUCUUAAAUCACCUGAGGAUGUUUUCAAUAUGUAUCCUAUCAUAACAGAAAUACACCGAAUAUUAAAUUUAUGUAAUCAUAAUGAAAGCUAAGGAAAUAUUUUGCAGUUUUUCUUUUAUAUAAACUGCGUCUGUGUACACAUGUACUUACAUGAGGUGACACACUUGUGCAUUUCAAGCUAUCACAAUUUGAAACAUAACAGUAAUACAAACUAACUUUAUGUUGAGUCAAUAAGAUAACAAACGAGCAUCUUCAUGAUUAUACAGUCUACUAAAAAUAGCAGCCAAAUUUCUCUCAAAAUCAUUCUAUCAUCAAAAGGGAAAAGGAUACAGUUAGAUCAGUGCUACUCAAAGUGGUGCUCUGCUGACCAGUGCCGAUCCGUGAGCCAUCAGCUGCCGGUACAUAGCAAUUUUGCAGAAAAGAAACAUAAAAUGCUUAUAAAAUGCUUAUGUAACAUUAUACUAUUUGUUUACAACAUAAAUAUAAGAUAAAAAAAAAUUGUCAACUUUUAUUAUAUUUAUUAUAUACAGUUGCGGCCAAAAUGUUCAGAACAGCAUUGUUUUAACGCCAGAAAAGUAGGUAUAAGUUUUUAUCAAAGUUGUUUUAUAUUCUAUAAUUUUCACAGACAAUAAAUACGAUAUUAAUUGUUAUUGUCUGAGAUUUUGGUGUAAUUUGAGAGGAUAAUACAAAAGUUAUGGAUGAUUUAGUAAUUUACUGCAAAACCCAUGGUGGCCAAAAUAAUCAGAACAGUUGCUUUUACUCCAUGUUUUAGUAUAUUUAACCGGCGAACUCUAAUGUUUUGAAGUUGUUUACGUGACGGUUCGUGUACUAAACAUUAGUAAGAAUAUCUGCAGUGUACUUUGUUAAUAUAAUGCCACUUACUCCGUUAUCAAUUCGUCAGCAGAUUAUUAAGCUUCGAAAGAAGGAUAAUUUAAGUAUUGGGUCAAUUGCAAAGAUUGUUAAUAAGUCAAAAAGUGUUGUUCACGGUAUUCUUAAGGUCUUCGAUGAUUGUGGUUUGUGUGAAGCAAGAAAGUCUACAGAUAGACCAAGAAAAACGACCAAGAGAGAAGAUCGUGCUAUGGUAAAGUUGGUUAAAAAGGACAGAUUUAAAACUGCUGCUGCUGUUUCUCAGGAAAUGAGCAUUGUACUGAAGAAAACGUUAUCUCGAAAAACUUGUCCCAUCGUUUAGUUGAACAUAACCUACAAGCAAGAUCACCAGCAGUGAAGCCACUGAUCAGCUCCAAAAAUAAAAAGUGUCAUCUUACCUUUGCAACCGAACAUGUGUUGUGGUCUCAAGAAAAAUGGCAAACGGUGCAUUUCAGUGAUGAAUCUAAGUUUAUGUUAUUUGGCUCAGAUGGGAAAAGUAGGUGAAAAAUUGUCACCUAAAUGCCUUAAGACUAGUGUUAAAUUCGGUAGAGGAAGUGUCAUAGUUUGGGGGAUGAUAUCUGGUGAUGGUGUGGGCCCUUUGGUGCGAUUACAUGGAAAGGUAAAUGCAGGAGUUUAUAAACAACUUGUAAAAGAUCAUGUCUUGCCUGUGCUGAGAAAUUCAACUAAGUGACCACCCAUAUUCAUGCAGGACAAUGCCCCAUAUCACAAGGCUAAAGUGGUCAUGAACUUCCUCAAGGCUGAAAAGGUUAUUAUUAUGGAUUGGCCUGCUCAAAAUAUAUUCCACACAUUGAAAAUGUGUGGAAUAUUCUAGGAGAACGUUCGAAAGCCAGAAAUCCCAAAAUAACCGAGCAAUUAUGAAAUGCCCUUCAGGAAGAAUGGAAUAAGAUCACCUAGCAAGAAAUUGAAAAUUUAAUUUCCUCAUGCAGUCGAAGAUGUCAAAGUGUGAUUGAAGCUAAAAGGUUUCACACUAAAUAUUAAAUAAUUCCACUGUUCUCUGUCAUUUUUGAUUAUUUUGUUAUUUUUUCAACAGUUCUGAUCAUUUUGGCCGCCAUGGGUUUUGCAGUAAAUCACUAAAUCAUCCAUAACUUUUGUAUUAUCCUCUCAAAUUAUACCAAAAUCUCAGACAAUAACAAUUAAUAUCGUAUUUAUUGUCUGUGAAAAUUACAGAAUAUAAAACAACUUUGAUAAAAACUUAUACCUACUUUUCUGGCAAAAACAAUGCCAUUCUGAACAUUUUGGCCGCAACUGUAUAUUGUGGAAGGUGUUUGUAAGCCAUUUAAGAAACACACAAAAUCCGUUUGGUUCACUUCAACAUUUAAAUUUAAUUUGUCAAAAUAUUUUCGUCGCUUUGAGACCAUGACCUGUUCACUGAUGAUAUUCUGUGCUGCCGUAAUUUUGUCAAUGAACAGGUUGCAGUCUCAAAGUGACAAAAAUAUUCUGAUAAAUUAAAUUUAAAUGUUGAAGCGAAUCUAACGGAUUUUGUGUGUUUCUUAAAUGGCUUAUAAACACCUUCCACGCUGCAAUUGUUUUCGUUCCAGCACACAAUCUCAGAUCAGGUCACUUGCUAUGCAAGUACAUCUCCGUAAUUAUAUAUAUUGUUUCUGGUAUAAAUUGAUAUUAUUAAGAAACAUUACUGGUCCCUGGCACAUUGGAAAAAAACUGCCAGUACGCCACAUCAGAUAGUUUGAAAAGCACUGCAUUAGAUAAUGUAGUCCUAAGCAGCUUUAUAAAGAUGAGAUUGAUAUGGCUGAAAUACCUUUGAUCAUAGAUCUGCUAGAUCAAGGCUUUACCAGGGGUUAAAAAAACAACAACAACAGGCUUUUGUUGUGAAGAGCUUCUUGGAGAUUAUAUCCUCAAAAGACCCUGAAGUCGAAAUUUUAUUAUUGAGAUUUUAUGAAUCAAUAGCAUUUUACAUUGUGGAAGAGGUAUUUAAUAAUGCACAAAGCUGUUAAAUUCACUUUAAAUUUAAAUUUAUUUCACAGUGUGCCAGAUUUGUGUGUUAUUAAAUGGCUUUUCCAUGAUGUAAUCACUUCAGUUUCAACACUUAGUCUCUGUACAAUUCCCAAAUAUGAUUUUGAUUUAAAUUUAGUUUUGGGUUUCUUUAUUAAUGGAAUGGCAUUCUUAAGCAUAUUAGCUAAAAAUUUCCCUCCCAUAUGUAUAUAUGAUAUCAUGUAUCUAUGACAUAUAUAUAUAUAUAUAUAUAUAUAUAUAUACGAUAUGUGUGUGUGUGUGUGUAUGUGUAUACAUAUGACAGGAAAUUGCGAGGAUGAUCCGGUUCUUAACUGAAGAUUGAAGGCUUCGAAUGUCCCGUCCGUGUUUUUUGUAUAGUCUUCUAAAUGUUUUACUUUCUUGUCCCAGUUUGGAUUUUUUUACAUUUACAUAUAUAUAUAGUGGCGCCCGUACCCUUUUUGGUCUUAUAUGUAAGUACAUAUUUCUUUAAAACAUGGUACGAUUCUAUAACACUGUCUCUCUCUCCCUCCUCUCCUACAUUUCUCUGCACAUUAAAAAAACUCUUGUUUUUUUAAUGUAUUCACACAAAAUCAGGGGAUAAACAAGUACUUCAUUUUUCCAUAUAGUCUCCUUCCUUUUUGAUGUACUUGGUCCAGUGAUCCACAAGCUUGCGUAUUCCCUCCAAGAAGAAGGUUUUCAGUUGGUCAUGCAACCAUUUAUGCAUCAGCUCUUUAACAUCUUCAUCCGUAUGAAAUCAACAACCUCGUAAACCACCUUUGAGCAGUCUAAAGAUAUGAUAGUUGGAAGGGGUGAGAUCUGAGCUGUAGGCAAGGUGUUCCAGUACUUUAAAACCCAAUUGGUUAAUGGUUCCAAUGUUCAGGGUGGCCAUGUGUAGGCAUGUAUUGUCAUGCAACAACAAAACUUUCUUCGACAAUAGGCUUCGGUAUUUGGUGCAAAUUGCUGGCUUCAGUUUUUUGGCCAGCAAAGCAUUGCAUCUUGCACUGUUGAUCGUACACCUCUUUUUCCAGAUAGUCUUCCAGUAUAGGCCCUUUUGAGUUCCAAAAUAGGGUUAGUAUUACUUUCACUGUGGAAGACUGAGUCUUGAAUUUCUUCAUUGCUGGUGAACCAGGAUGCCUCAUUUCCAUACUCUGCUUUUUGGAUUCUGCCUCAUAAUGAUGGACUCAUGUUUCGUCUCCUAUGACCAUUCUGCUCAAAAAUUCCUCGCCCUCAUGGUUAUAGUGAUCAAAUAAAUGUUAACAGACCUCAAGGCAUUUGCAUUUGUGCUCUGCAGUAAGCUCUCUUGGCACCCACCUUGCACAGACUUUAUGGAGGGCGAGAUCAUGGAUGAUUUGAUAAGCAGAACCAUGACUAAUCUGCAGAGAAUGAGCUACCUCAUCAAUGAUAACUCACCAGUUCUUUCAGUUUCUGUCUACUAUAUCCACUCGCAAAGCUUUGGUCAGCCUGAGGCUAUAAUAGAAGACACUUGUCCCAGGUGCCAUGCAGUGAGGCUGAACUCAGAACCCUGUGAUUAGAAACCAACUUCUUACCAUAUAUACACACCUGCAUGUAUAUAUGUGUAUGUGUGUAUACAAACACACAUCAUAUAUAUAUAUAUAUAUAUAUGAGGUGUAUGUGUAUAUGUGUGUAUGUAUGUGUGUGUAUAUUUAUCACAUAUACAAUACAGCAUUUUUGCUGUGCUCUGAGGACCCUGCCAUUUCCCCUGGGGCUGCCCAAUAGGUAUUUUACUAUUACUUCAUGAUCAAUGUUUUAUCUUCAGGCAACACCACAUGAGGCUUCACUUUUUAAGAGAAGCAAGAGAUCAUCCAAAUUCACAAUUCUUCCUGCAUAUUUUCUCAAACAGAAAAUUUAAUUCUGCAAAUAUCUUGUCAAGAUACCAAGAAUAAAACAAAAUAAUUGAUUUUUCACAGGUUACAUGUAACAGCUACACUUUUGCAAAUACAAGUAAAAAUAAUUUCAAAGCAAAUUGAAAUACAAUCGAAACAAAAUAAAAUAAUUUUGAAGCUAAUUAAAUCUUUGUUAUAAUUAAAUAAUGUCAUAAAACCAUAUUUCCGAUGUUUUUAUUUAAUGAGAAUCAAAUUACAGUUUAAUUUUAAAUGGCAACAAUUCUUAAACAAGUUUGAAAAUAUCUUUCAUAAGUUUAUCUAUUUGAAUAUAAAAAAAAACCAGUUAUUCUGACUGUAAAUGCAUUCUUCCAUCAAGAUGAUUUACUAUAAUCUAUUGGGACACAGUCAAUCUUCAAACAUUGAAAGUUAAUAUUUUCAAAGAUUAACCCUUAAAUAUUUAAACCAGCGAUAUCUGGCUCAAAUAUUCCAACUAUUUCAUGUUCAAACUGGCAAGAUUCAACCUCUUACACUUAUCCUACAAUGUCAUUCUAAAGCUAAACAAACACACCAUCGAAAUCUCAAAGCUACAACAUAAUGCAUGAUUAAUUCAAAACAAUAUGAAUAAAUAAGCUUUACAUUUAACAGAGUAAUCUGAAUGCUAAAGGGUUAAGGCAGCAGUCCAAUGAUCAUGGGCACAGUCCAAUGAUUGAAACAAACAAAAAAAUAAAAGAUAAAAGAAGAGGUAUUGUUUUACUUUCCUCCAGUUUUAUUACCCCUGCCUUAGCAAAGGUCGAGGUAUUGUUGUCAGUCGUGUUUGUUUGUUUGUGCAUGGACAACAUAUCUCAAGAACCAAUGGGUUCGGAUGAAACUUUCAGGGAUGUUUGGCCUCGUGACUGGCACAAACUGAUUAGAUUUGGGAUUGAUCCGGUACCGCACAAGGAUUCUGGGUUAUUCGUUAUAAUUACUUUACCUUACGUGAUUACGAUCUUAUGUUAACUUUCAAGUCUUUCUCAAUUAUCUCUUUUUAGGCUGUAACUAUUUUGAAUGGUAAAUUUGUUAAUUUUGGCUUGUAUUAGACAAGGAUAAACUAUUUAUUACAGUUUUACUAGAUAUUUUACAGCCACCUUCACAUUCCAUGACUACCAUUGGGACCGAUCAGGUACCAGACAAGGAUUCUGGAUUAUUUUUAUGUUUUUUUUUACUUAAUUUUUGAGAGUGGUCAGGUUCAUUUUUAGUAUUCUCGUUUGUGAGAGCAGUUGAGUUUAUUUUAGAUAUUCUCAUUUUAAAAAUCACCUCUGGCUAAUCGUUGAGAAGAUGUUGGUGUUGCCUUGGUGGAGGUUUGUACUCUCUGAGUGCUCUUGUCUUAAUUUGUUUUCAGUUUAUUUAAUUUUCAGUAUACUCUUUUACUCUUUUAUUUGUUUCAGUCAUUUGACUGUGGCCAUUCUGGAGCACCGCCUUUAGUCGAGCAAAUCGACCCCAGGACUUAUUCUUUGGAUGCCUAGUACUUAUUCUAUCAGUCUCUUUUGCUGAACCACUAAGUUACGGGUACAUAAAAAUACCACCAUCAGUUGUCAAGCAAUACUGGGGGGACAAACAGACACACAAACAUACAUAUAUACAUAUAUACGACGGGCUUCUUUCAGUUUCCGUCUACCAAAUCCACUCACAAGGCUUUGGUCGGCCCGAGGCUAUAGUAGAAGACACUUGCCCAAGGUGCCACGCAGUGGGACGGAAUCCGAAACCAUGUGGUUCGUAAGCAAGCUACCUACUACACAGCCACUCCUACGCCAUUCAUUGCUUUGAGAUCAUUUCAAUUUGUAUCUGAAAAGGUACAAAGUGAAGUGAACUCGAGGGAAAAAAGUAAGUAAAUAAAAACAUAAAGAAAAGGCUGUGAUAGCAGUUAACUGCAGCUAAUACUGCAGGACUACAUAACAUACAAGGAAGAGCUUUCUUCAUUAUAUCAUUUUUGCUCCAUAAAAAUGUUGUAACAGACAGACAAAUGACAUAUUUCUUUUGAAUAUUUGUUAUAUUUCACAUAAUGAGAGCAAGGUGGCAGAACCAUUUCUGCUUUGCAGCAUUUCUUCUGGUUCUUUAUAUUCUGAGUUCAAAUCCUGCUGAGGUCAACUUUGCCUCUCCUCCUUUCAAGAUCAAUAAAAUAAAGUACCAGUUGAACACUGGGGUUGAUGUAAUUGACUCAUCACUUUCCAAUCAAAAUUACUGGACUUGAACCUUGCAAUGGAUCAAUGACCAGUUCAGGAAAAUGUUUUUUGAUCUUUAUCACUUAUAAGCGAUGGAAACUGGCUAACCGGCUUAAGAAAAAUGAAAAAAUAAGUUACUGCCGUGUGUGUAUAUGUGUGUGUAGGUGCUUGUGCCUCUCAGAGAGAGAGAGAGAGAGAGAGAGAGGGGGGGAAAUGAUGCACAUGGUCAGUUCUAAGCAAAAUCCAUUGGAAAGUGUUUUAAUUCAGUUUUAAUCCUGGUUCCUCUUGAAGAGAAGCUUUUUGGCUCAAACUAUUGUAAAAGGAAAAAAUAUUAAAGGUAAUUCUUUUUGUAGUUCAUUAUAUUAUUCUUAUUUUUUAAAAAAACCUGCAUUGUCAGUACUUUUAUUAAAUUCAAAGUAAAACUUAGGAAUCUAAUUUUCAGUAAAACCCUGACUUGAUAACUUUUCUACAAAUAAGUGAAAACAAUUAUGUUAUAUUAAGUUUACUUACUCAAUGAGUAUCUUUGACUAAGUGCUCUUGAAGUAAACAUACUUAUGCUUGAGUGUGUGUGAGAGCAUGAUGUUUAUACCAUCUUAGAAACAUUUCCAAAUAGAAAGAUGUUUACACAAACUGAAACAUACCUUGACACAGGUAACUAAACAAAGAGAUAAAGUUGCAUUUUAAGACUGGCAUCUUAAGUGUGCAGUGUCAAAAUGGUUAACCUUUAGGACCAUGAAGACUAGGAUCAUAGCUUUCAAUGGGUCUAUUGGUAAAACCGUUGUGUAGUAUAAGCUACAUAUAUUAUUUUGCUACCUCAGUCAACCAUGUAAAGAAUGAUGCCAAUAUGGGUGGCUCUAUAUGGUCAGUGAAUUCACACAGCCUAAAGGUUAGAGUGUCCAGCUCAUGAUCAUAAAGUCAUGAGGUCAAUUCUUGGAUCAGACACUGUGUUCUUCAGCAAGGCACUCCAGUGCAUGCUGCUCAAAUCAACUCAACUGUAAAGGGCUGUAGCCAGGUGUUGGUGUAGUAAUCUCUCCCUCCAUCUAUCACAUCCAAGCUAUUCUGUAGGAUCAAAUAUGAGAGGUUUGAUAGGGUAUGUAUUUAAUUGCGAUUGCAUAGGUACCUAAAACAAUUAGUAAAAAUAUGGUCUAUGUUAGUAAGCUAUAUUCACUAAUGAGUGAUGGUUGGUUGCACUGCUAACUCUGAAUGAUCACUCAAACUAACAAAAAUAGCAACUCAAUCUCCUUCAAAUCAAAUCACACGUUACUGUCUUAAAAAAGGACAGAUAUAGUCUCUGAUACAGUAUGUCCGUAAAACUGAUGAUGACAGGAUGAUGACUGCUUAAAUGCCUUUGACCACUGGUGUACUCAAUUGUAUUUUACCUAGGACUUAACAAUAUCUUAUGUAUAGACUAGCAGUAUAGCCCAGUAUUGCUCAGGUUUGUCUUUUAGUUGCACUUAAAAUGGCAGACUUUGAUGUCAUGUUAACAAAGUUUUGAUAUAGUUUCAAUCUUUUUUGAAAAAUAAAAGUUUUGCAUUAUGUAGCUUGUUAUUCUCUUUAAGUGAACAUUUUUCUGGUUGAAAUACACAGAAAAAUGGUGACACAGCGGUAAAAAAAUCGUAAAAAAUACGGAUUUUCAUAGUAAAAAAGCACCUUUUUGAUGUAAAUAAUUUUUGGUGUUAACAUGGUCCGAUUUGAAUUUUUUCUCCUACAGAAUGAAGAGCAAGCCUUCUAUCAUACCCUCAAUUUUGGUCAACUUGCACUGCAGGGUCUCAGAGGAGAUAGUGUUAGUUUAAGGCUACUAAACCUGCCACACACACACACACACAGACAACUUCAGCUUUAUAUGUAUAGAUUUGCUUGCUGUCACAAUUCUUAUAAAUACUUGAAUUUCUUUCACUAUUCAACCAAUAUUUUUUUUUAAUUAAAUAAAAUCGAAAAUGAGACUAAAACAACUUCAUAUGUUUACAUUGCUCUCAAGAAGCUUUUUCAUUUCAACACAGCCAGAGUAUCUAUAGUUUAUCUCAAUAGCCUAUAGGGUGAUGGACUGGCAGAAGUGGUAGAAUGGUCAUUAAAAAGCAAUAAUAUUUUUUAGUCUCUUUAUAGUCUGAGUUCAAAUCCUGCCUAAGUCAGACUGGGGUCUUUCCCCAUUCCAAGGAAAAAACCCAAUCAGUAAGUGUGAGUUUAGUACUAAGGAUCGCUUAAUCGGGAAAAGUGUGGCUCCUAGGUUAAGAUUUGCUUCACAACCAUGUGAUUGUGGAUUCAGUCCCACUGAGGAGUGCCUUGAGUAUGUGUCUAUUAAAAUAACCUGGAGUGGAAUUUAGUCAGCAGAAAACAUGUAGAAGUCAAAACUGUAUAUAUAUAUAUAUAUAUAUAUAUAUAUAUAUAUAUAUAUAUAUAUGUACAUAUAUUUAUAAAUGUAUGUAUAUAUAUUUACACAUGUACAAAUAAGUGUAUGAAUCCAUUUAUUUGUUGUUGGUGUAUAACAAUAAAGGCUGUAAACAUGAGCAAGAAAACCACAAAAACUUUCACAUCAAAGUCCUUUGCAGUAUUGUUCUGCACCAAGUUAUAGACACUCCCUUAUUACUAUCACCAUAAUAAAUGCAGUGAACCAAUGAUAGGUUUGUCAGAAAUCUGAAGCAUAAUGCUCUCCAAAUGUGAUACAAAUGAAAAUUUUAAAAAUAAAUAAUUGAAUGUAACUUUUCCAAAAAAUAUUUCUAGUUUUGACACUUUUAGAAAUGAUAUUUAUAGAUUGUGUGUAUGGAAUUUAACAGUCAUCACGACCCUAAGUUAGUAUUUCUUAUAGUUUGGUAGUAUACUGGCAAACAGAAUAACUAAUUAAAAGAAAAAGAAAUAUAAUAUUAUUUAUAUUCAAUUUAAUUUGUGAAGUGAUUCUUAUGAAUUUUAGAAUUAUUUCUUCUCAUUAAGUUAUUAUAAAACAAAAGUGUUAAAGAUGUAAUUUGAUUUACAGAAUUAUUUGACACCAAUGCUAGAUAUAAAAAUGGAACUAGCAGAGUACUCAUCAAAGAACUUGGAGUCCAUAUGAAGUGGGUGAUAAAUGUUUCUAUUGACUCCCCCAACAAGAGGCACCAAAAUGGAAUGGUGGUAUAAUUUAGAAGCGCCUUUAUAGGAUUGAGGAAUGGUUCAAACCAUAAGUUACAAGUUGGUUUACUCAUGAUCAGAUUCCUCUUGUUGUUUGAAUGAUUUAAGAAAUAAAACAAAGGGCAUACAAGAUUGGGUAAAAAAGCAGAAAUAUUUGAUAUAAACUCAAUAAUAAUAAUAAUAAUAAUAAUAAUUAAUACAAUGUAUCAGUCUUUCACACACUCACCUAUAUCCAGUUGUGAAUUCAUGUACUUUACAAAAGUUAUUUGAUGUAAACUGUAUUAUUGACAUGGCACUAACAGAACACAGCAAUAUAACCAUUUUAGUUUUGUAUACUUAGAUACUCAUUGUUAACAUAUCAGCCACUUUACAGUAGCUAAUUGCAAGUUUAGCAGAAAACCUAAAAUGAAGCUUCAAACGGAUUAAUACUGUUUUAUGUGUGGAACAUAGCCUGUACAGGAGAACAAUAGUAAGAGAAAGUAUGGCUUUGUGAUUUCUAAAACAACAUACUAACUUUUGAAGCAGAUUAAUUAGAAAAAUUAUUUCUUUAAUGUGGGGAUUCUGGUGUACAAAUAGAAUUCGCAGCUUUUGAUUAUUCAUCUGAUUUGAUUGGAAAACUUUGUUACUAAUAAAGAUCAAAGACUUCUUCUGUGACAACUCUAUUAUUCACAAACAGCAAAACAUUUUUCACAGAUAAAACUUGAACCUCACAUUUGAAGCUACAAUGUUCUCAAUUUUAUAUUGCUCGGUCCUUCCAUUUGGAAGAAACAUGAUUUAUUCCAAUCAGAAAAACUUGAACAUCUAAUUGAACAUUAAUACAUGUGGUGGAAAUAAUAUGUAACUGUGCAUAUUAGGUAUACAAAAAGCAAAUGAAAGAAAGACGAAUAGUUAUCGAUAGGAAAUAUAUUUUGAUUUAUCUUUGGAAGUUUACCUGCUUUCUUGAAGCAAAACUUAAGAUUACAUGUGAUUUCUCAUUAAUGUCAGAAAAGUCAAAAUAUAUACAAAGCAUAAGGGAGAAAUUAGUUCUGUAAACUUGGAUAAUUUGCGAUAAACAUAUCCUAGUUAACAAACAUUACGCUUUCAACUUUAUCAAGAUUGCGGCAUAAAUCAUUUCUGACUGUCUCAAAGACAUUCUUUAACAAAAUUCCUUUGUUUCACUGAAAUUUGGCAAGCUAUCCAGAAAUAGGUAAUGUGAUCUUGCUUGACAUGUUUAAGGUGAAGAAUAGAGAAAAUUGAAAUAAAUGAACACUGAUAAAUCACAUCGUGAAAUUCUCCACUCUGUUAUCAAAAUUCAGCUAAAGCUCUAAUUUGCAACAGAAUAUAAAGAGAAGAUAGAGAAGAUCAUUGAAGAAAGACAAUGACCUGGAGUCAGAACUACUGUGAUAAUUUCAUACUGUUUUCUGAGUUUCUAUAGAUAACAUUACUUGGUGUAUUUAAAAAUAGUUCUGUGUAGGAGGCUAUCUUACACUAACUAAAGAUUCCCGAUUAAAAGAAAACAAAGAAUAAAUGUAAAAAUAUUCAAGAAAAGAAAGCAGAGAUUUACAAAUAUUUAUCUUUUUUUAUUGUCAAAUAGCUUUUUCAUUAACUUAUAUUCUUUAAUCAAAUGCAAUUAUUCCCUGAGAAAUUAGGGAAAACAAUUUCAGUUGGAAACAUAGCCAGAAUAGUUAGUGUAUUUGUUUGUUCAUCAAAUAUCUAUGUUUUUUUUUGUUCUUGUUUUUUUGUUUUUUUUUUCCAUGUUUACAUGGUUUGGAUUGGGACUUAUUUAAGGUAGGAUUUUAUGACUGGAUGCUCUUCCUGCUGUUAAUCUUGUUUUUCAGGUACAGGAAAUUUUAUUCAUAAGUAUUUGGAAGCACAGAGUGACUAGUAAUAAUGUCAACAAUGAAUGGCAAUAUCUGAAACGGCUUCACUCAGGCAGUGACAAACAAAAGAAGCCUUGGAAUAUCAAUAUUUGCAGAAAUGCACAAAUAAAUACACACACAUCAUCUUACAGACGGGCUUCUAUACACUUUCUUAUUUCUUUAUUGCCCACAAAGGGCUAAACACAGAGAGGACAAACAAGGACAAACAAACGGAUUAAGUCGAUUAUAUCGACCCCAGUGUGUAACUGGUACUUAAUUUAUCAACCCCGAAAGGAUGAAAGGCAAAGUCGACCUCGGUGGAAUUUGAACUGAGAACAUAGUGGCAGACGAAAUACCGCUAAGCAUUUUGCCCGGCAUGCUAACGUUUCUGCCAGCUCGCUGGCUUCUAUACACUUUCUGCCUACCAAAUUCACUCACAAGACUAAAUUAGUUGGUUGGGGGCUAUGGAACAAAAUACCCAUUCAAAGUAUCAUGCACAGGGCCUGAACCCAAAACUAUGUGGAUCUGAAGUAAAAUUCUUGAUCACAAAAUCAUGCCAGCACAACUUAAAUCCCUCUCAGACCUGGAACUCUGUGUCUAAAUUUACCCUCUGCCUGGGCUCCUGAGCAAAAAUAUAAAUAGUUGCAUAUACAGCCCAAGAGUAAUGACUGCAGACAAACUAGUGAACAAAAUCAGUUGCAUCUUUAUGUUUCUAUGUAAGCAGUUCAUUACCCCUUUACUGACAGGGAUGAUGUUCAACCAAUAUCCAUUAUUAUAAUAGCAGAAAUAGAGCAUGACAGGUUUAUAGGUGCUGAAUGGCCAGAUUGAAAUUGAAAAGUUCUAAUCCUAGCAUUACCCUUUUAUUGUGCUCCGAGAUUAAAGAAACCAAAACAAGACUGGAAAUAUGUACUGCAUCUCCUUCACUGUGGAAUGCUUAACAUUAGGAAUACAAACACUUGUUAAAAUAUGUUGUUUCACCAGUUCAGAUAAUAUUUACAUGACCUCCUAUAACAUCGUCAUAAAACAAGCCAACACAUGCUGGCAGAAUCAUUGGCAAGCAGCAUGCAUUCUAAAUUCUAAGGUUCAAUAUUCUAAGGUUGACCUUGUCUUUCAUCCUUUAGGGGUCGACAAAAUAAGAACCAGUUGAGUACUGGAGUUGUUGUUUGUUUGUUUGUUCUUUCUCGAGCAAUGCCUGGCUCAUAAGGGCCGGUUUCCCAGUUUCCUUGGCAUAUAGGUUCCUCACCUGGACAGGACACCAGUCUGUCGCAGGUGAACUGCAAGAUGCAGGAGGAAAGAGUGAGAGAAAGUUGUGGUGAAAGAGUCAGCAGAAUUUCACCAUUACCUUCUGCUGGAGCCGUGUGGAGCUUAGGUGUUUCACUCAUAAACACACACAUCGCCCGGUCUGAGAUUUGAACCCACGAUCCCUCGACCGCGAGUCCACUGCUCUAACGACUAGGCAAUGUGCAUCCACUGAGUACUGGAGUCAAUGUAAUCAACUUAGCCCCUCUCCCGAAACUGCUGGCCUUGUGGAACAAUUUGAAACCAAUACUCACACAGAAACACACAUACAUAAGAGUACAGGUAUGACUGUGUGGUACAAAGUUUCUUUCCCAACCACAUGGUCUCACUUCAGUCCUACAGUGUGAUAUCAUGAGUGUCUUCUGCUAUAAACCCAGGCCCAACCAAAACCUUUUGAGUGGAUUUGGAGACAGAAACUGACAGAAACCCACUAUGUGUGUGUGUUACUGUCACUGCCUUGACAUGAUGUGAUAGUUGUGAGUUUCCUUGUCAUCCAAUUGGUAUGCUUUGCUUCCAGUCUGUGAAAACAUAUAUGAUCAUGGGAAAAUAUUAACUUACUACAUAGGAGUGGUUGUGUGGGAAGUAGUUUGCUUACCAACAACAUGAUUCUGGGUUCAGUCCCACUGCAUGGCACCUUGGGCAAGUGUCUUCUACUAUGGCCUCCGGCCGACCAAAGCCUUGUGAGUGGAUUUGGUAGACAGAAACUGAAAGAAGCCUGUCGUAUAUAUGUAUAUAUGGGUUUCUCUCAGUUUUCUCUUUGUAUGUAUGUGUGUGUGUAUAUGUUUGUGUGUCUGUGUUUGUCCCCCCAACAUCGUUUGACAACCGAUGCUGGUGUGUUUACGUCUCCGUAACUUAGCGGUUCAGCAAAAGAGACUGAUAGAAUAAGUACUUGGCUUACAAAGAAUAAGUCCUAAGGUUGAUUUCCUCGACUAAAGGUGGUGCUCCAGCAUGGCCACAGUCACAUAACUGAAACAAGUAAAAGAGUUACUUGGAAACAAGUGAGGGUUGGCAACAGGAAGGGAAUUCAGUUGUAGAAAAUCCACCUCAGUAAAUUUCUUCCGAUCCAUGCAAACAUGGUAAAAUGGAUGUUAAAAUGAUGAUGAUGAUGAUGACAUAAGUUAUUUAAGACAUCAAUGUUAAAAAUCAAAAAAGAUUAAAACUUUUCAAUUUUGUUUUGAGAAACUAUUGUACCAUGUGGGCCAAAUUGAUAAUAUUGAUGUAAAAAAUUCAAUAUUCAGUUUUUGUUUUCACAACCACACAACUGGAUAAAAGUAUUCAAUAUCACUUACUUCCAUUUAAAUUUUGUAAUCAGGAGUGGACCCAAGCGAGGGCCUGAGGGUUACAUGCGACCCUCAAGAAAAGAAGUGCACCUUUCUAAAUAAUGUUAUUACGCCCUUUUCUCCUUGACUGGUAUUAUUCCCUUCUGACCUUGUACCCACCCUUCGAAGAAUUUUUGGGACCACACCUGGUAUAUAGUCCUUAUAUAUAUAUAUAUAUAUAGUAGGGAAUAUAAUUCCAAACUUACAGGGAAAAAUUCAGUUUAGCAAUUCUAAAUCAAAUUUCCCAAUAUAUAAUAUAUGUAUAUAAUAAAGAGAAAUAAUGUUUAUUUAAUUUAGUGAUUUUUUUAAUAAAAUUUUUUCUAUAUAAUAUAAUGUCUUUCACUAUUGAAUUACUUAAUAGAGGUAAUUUCUCUUAAUUAUAUAUAUAUAUAUACCGUUGGCGAUUUUUUUCCUCUGUCUUCCCUUCUCUAGAUCUUUCCUUCUCCUAUGUUUCCGACAAAGAGUCCGCUCGAAAUGUUAAACCCUCCUUCUUUCCUUCUUUCCGGAGCGUCCAAUAAUACUAUAUUUGUUCCACGUCCUCGCAUUGUUGUGUUUUUUUGUGCCUUCUUGUUUGGAUUAACUAUAUCAUCAUCAUCAUCAUCAUCAUUUAACGUCCGCUUUCCAUGCUAGCAUGGGUUGGACGGUUCAACUGGGGUCUGGGGAGCCCGAAAGCUGCACCAGUCCAGUCAGAUCUGGCAGUGUUUCUACAGCUGGAUGCCCUUCCUAACGCCAACCACUCCGAGAGUGUAGUGGGUGAUUUUAUGUGCCACCGACACAGGUGCCAGACGAGGCUGGCAAACGGCCACGCUCGGAUGGUGUUUUUUAUGUGCCACCGACACAGGUGCCAGACGAGGCUGGCAGACGGCCACGCUCGGAUGGUGUUUUUAUGUGCCACCGACACAGGUGCCAGAUGAGGCUGGCAAACGGCCACGAUCGGAUGGUGCUUGCUACGUGCCCACAGCACGGAGGCCAGUCGAUGCGGCACCGGCUACGGCCACGUUCGGACGGCCCCCUUGUGUGCCACGUGCCACCGGCACUGGCACCACAAAGAUACAAAUUCCAUUGAUGUUCAUCUAUUUUGAUUUGUUUUGAUUUGAUUUUCACUUGCCUCAACAGGUCUUCACAAGUGUCACAAGAAGGAAGGUAUGCACAGGUGGACUGACUACGUCCCAGGUAGGGGCCAUGGGUUAUGGCCUGACUAGUCUUGCCGGGUCUUCGGAUGGUGUUUUUAUGUGCCACCGACACAGGUGCUAGAUGAGGCUGGCGAACGGCCACGAUCGGAUGGUGUUUGUCAUGUGCCCACCGCACUGACUACAGCACUGAUGGAUUUCUUGUGAGCCACAGGCACUGGUACCACAAGAUACAAAUUCCAUUGAUGUUCAUCUAUUUUGUCUAUUUUGAUUUGAUUUGAUUUGAUUUGAUUUCACUUGCCUCAACCGGUCUUCACAAGUGUCACAAGAAGGAAGGUAUGCACAGGUGUAUAUAUAUAUAUAUAUAUAUAUAUAUAUAUAUAUAUAUAUAGAUGUAUGUAUAUAUAUAUAUUCUAUACAUACAAUUUUUAUACUUGUCCCAGACAUUCACAAGAAAACAGAUGAAAUGGUGAGAAAUGGUCUCAAGAAGCUGAAGAAGAUGACUAAAAUCUUUGAUGAUUAAUAAUAAACAAUUCUGAAAGAGACCAUCCCACAAAUGCAAACUUGGAGAAUUGGUUGAUACAAUAGUUUAGUGUUGGAGGAUGGGAUGUAUAAUAUAGCAAGUAUUAGGUCUCUUCAUUAGCUUUUCAUCUGUCACACCCUACUCUCUAUUUAGCGUAUCAGGCUGUACAUAGGCUGUGUAUGUAAUAAAGGAUGGCAUUUGAUAUCCUUGUAUUUGGUGAAUGCAAUUGUCUUCCCAAUAGCAACAUAUAGAUGUGAGACCUGGACACUAAAGAAAGCUGACCAGAAGAGAAUUAAUGCAUUCAAGCUUUGGUGUUGGAGAAGACUUUUACGGAUUCCAUGGACAGCGAGGCUCACCAAUGGAGAAGUUCUUAAGCAGAUCAGGCCGAAAAUGUCGCUAGAAGCUAGGAUCACCAAGCAUAGAUUGGCAUAUUUCGGUCAUAUUAUGCAGAGAAAAUCCCUGGAGAAGGACAUCAUGCUCGGAAUGGUCAGUGGUAAGAGAGGAAGAGGCCGACCAAGAACCCGCUGGCUUGACACCAUCAAGAGUGAUACCGGAAUGGACAUAGCCAAUCUGAAAGAAGUGGCCCAGGAUAGAACUGACUGGAGGACACUGAUCCGAGUAACCGAGAGUCGACUUUGACUGAGUGGAUAGAUAGAUAGUAUUUAAUCCUUUUACCAUCACCCUUUACCAUCAUACCUCUCUUCCACCACGGUCUUUUAUCAUUCUCCUCUCUUGCAUACAUAUCUUUUGUCACUCUACUCCUCUCACAACAAACUUUUUUUAUAGCUAGAGCCUUAAAAAUAUAUCAUUUACCUUAUUGUUAAAACUUUGAUUGUGGAGAUGCAUGGUUUAGUGGUUAGGUAGUUGGACUUUUGAUUGUAAGAUUGUGGUUUCGAUUCCUGGACAGGCGAUGUGUUGUGCUCUUGAGCAAAACACUUCAUUUCACAAUGCUCCAAUCCACUCAGAUGGCAAAAAUGAGAAAUCCUACGAUGGACCAGUGUCCAGUCCAGGUGGGGAAUUCAUAUGCCCUAGAAACAGGGAAACUGGAUUUUAUCAGUUGACAUGACUUGUCAAAGUAACUUUACCUUUUUUACUUAAUACUUUGACUUGAUUCAACCAAUGAGGAUACCUCUAUGUGGCAACUCGGUCUGGCAGAAAUAACAGUCAAAUUCACCUCAAACCUUAAAGCAGUAUAAAACAUUAGAUAAUGUGUUCCGAAGUUCAGUAUUUAAAAAUUAAGUGGAAUGGUCAUAGUUAAAUCUGGAAUGCUUUAAUCACAGAUCUACUUCAUCAUAACACUGAGCAGAGACUAAACAACAUAGGACAGUACAUUUUUCAGUAUUUGUCCUGACAUUCUUCUCUCAAGAUUCAAAUCCUUCUGAGCUCAGCUUUGCCUUUCAUUCUUUCAGGAUAAAUUUAAAAUGUUCUCAUCCAGGGCAAUGAACUAGUAGAAUUGUUUGGACAUCAAAUGAGAUGCCUUGCAGUAUGUCUAUUAGCUCUUUGCACUCUGACAGCAAAGUCAGUGACGAUGAUAUUAGUUCUAAGUUGUACAGGCCUUCGAUAAUAAUCUUUCCCUUCGACAAUAACCUUUCCUUUCAGCAACACUAAUGACAUGCAGCAGAGACAUGUAUAACUGAAUAACUGCUAGGUUUUCACAAUCAUUAGAUAACUGGAAUGCUUCAGAGUAACUGUACCAACUCUUUUCACUCUGAGUUCAAAUACCACAGAGAACAACUUUACCCUUCUGUUCCUUCAAUGUUGCAAAAUGAUUACCAAUCCAGGAUGAUGGAUUGGAAGAACUAUAAGAAAGUCAGACAGGAUCUUUGCAGUAUUGGUUCCAGCGCUUUACAUUUUAAUCUCAAAUCCUACCAUAAUCUUCUUGGGUUCUAGAUUUACUCAUCCACCCAGUUUUACACUCCUUGACAUCUUGAAUGUCAGUAGUAGAGUCUACAGUAUUUCAAGCAUUUUCUGAGUCAGAUCUGUGAUUUGAGGAUACCUUCUUUCAUCCCUCAUACAAGUUUUCAAUGCCCUGUUAGGUGCUAUGGGUGCUACCUUCCCUUAUCACAAAACAAAUAAAAAGAAAACCUGUUCAGACUUAUGCAUAUAAGUAGAGUGACACGGCAUCACACACAGAGAGAGAGAGAGAGACAGACAGAGACAGACAGAAACAAGGAAAUGCCACUUGUAUUUGAAUGCUAUACAAAUAUUCUUUUAAAAAAACUUUUCUUUUAAUUUUUCAAUUUAAUUUAAUUGUUUUCUAUAUUACAGUUGAAAAAGUCUCAAUGACUGAAACUGGUACUGAAAUGUUUUUUAUAAAAUUAUUUUAGCAUUUUCUAUCUUGACUUUUUUUUCCAUAUAUAUAUUUAUAUAUAUAUAUACAUAUACAGUGGACUUCUUUCAGUUUCCAUUUACCAAAUCCACUCACAAGGCUUAAGUCAACCCAAGGCUAUAGUAGAAGACACUUACCCAAAGUGCCAUGCAGUAGGACUGAACCCAGAACAAUGUGGUUGGGAAGCAAGCUUCUUACCAUGCAACCACACCUGAUCAAUACUUUCAUUUAUAUCAGGAAUGGGGAAGAUUUUUAAUGCAGCAGGCAGAAAUUUCCAAAGUAAAAUGUCCUUGGUUGAAUCACAAGUUCUAACUCUUAUAUCUGUGUAAAUCUUGUAUAUAUCUAUGUAGAAUUCGAUAUACAUUAAUAAAGAUAAGUUCAACACAUUAAAUUAAUGCAUAACAUCUUCGUUAAUGCUGCCACUGAAUUUAGGACAUUUAUAUAUAUAUUACUUAUGAGGACAUUUAUAUAUAAUUUAGGACAUUUAUAUUACUUACUUUUCAGCUAUGUAGUUGGGUCUCAAGGGGGUGGUACAAACCUAGUAACAUGUGUUUUAUAGUGAAAGCAAAAUUUCCAUUCCAAUGGCAAUAACCGGAAUAUUUUCUGUUUGAGUUUUAAGUCGUAGUAGAAACACAACCUAUGACAAAAAUAGGCAUCCUAUAUUGUAUAAAUUUUAUAAUUGAAAAAUUUACUAUAUUUUGUAUAUACGAGUAUACCAGCCUGCAAGCGUAAUAAAAUGGGCUCACAUGAGCAAUUGUGCCCUCAGACGGGAGUUUCUCCAUCCCUGAUUUAUAUUAAAACUAUAAUGACAGGCUAGAAACUUGUAGAAAUGUGACAAAAGAUUUAAAUAUUGUCAUCAGUCACAGAGAAAACAUCUACAUGAUUAUAUGGCAUGCUAGAAAUAGCAACCAAUCUUCUCUCAGAUCCCAAUCUUGGUGUCUUAUGCAAAGAAGUACAAUAUUAGCUAAUGGCCAAUGUACAGUUAUGUGUACACUAAAAUACUUGAUGUAGUGUUCCAAGAAAUUAUACCAUACUAUCUGAGGAAUGUAUGAGAUCACUCAGUAAGAUUAAAAAUAAAUAAUACAAACAGUGUGGAGGUGCAAUGGCCCAGUGGCUAGGGCAGCGGACUCACGGUCGGAGGAUCACGGUUUCGAUUCCCAGACCGGGCGUUGUGUGUGUUUAUUGAGUGAAAACACCUAAAAGCUCCACAAGGCUCUGGCAGGGGGUGCUGGCGGCCCCUGUUGUACUCUUUCACCUCAACUUUCUCUCACUCUCUCUUCCUUUUUCUUGAUUAACGCUGUGAUGGACUGGCGUCCCAUCCAGUCAUGGGGAACACAUAUGCCUCAGAAACCAGGAAACCGGGCCCAUGAGCCUGGCUAGACUUGAAAAGGGCGACAAAGGAAAAAAGAAAAAUACAUCAUCCAUUCCCAGAAAUACAUCUAUCCAACAAUCCCUACCUGAAUUGUAUUUUCUCAAACAGUUACCCUCUACUCUAGUGCUUCCCAAAAUGAGCAGUACUGUUCCCUGAGAAGGGUCCAGGGGGAAAAUGGUAAGAUAGGAAUUGGAAAGAUAGGGAUACAUCUUAUUAUUGCUCAAAUUUUCAAAAAUAUAUUUUUAGAGAAGAGAAUCUUGAAUGUAGGAGAUGAGUUGUGAAAAGAGGUUUAGAGAAUUGGGUAAAAUACCCAAAUACAUGGGAAAAAAGUGACCAGCAGCCACUGUACGAAUCAUUUGAUGAUGUUACAGUUCAAAAUAAGGCAGCAAGCUGGCAGAAUUGUUAGCACAUCAGGAAAAUUGCUUAGCAGCAUUUCACUUGCCUUUAUGUUCUAAGUUCAAAUUACACUGGGGCCAACUUUGCCUUUCAUCUCUUCAGGGUUGAUAAAAUAAGUACCAGCUGAGCACUAAAAUUUGAAACCAAUAUUACAGUUGUUUUGACAAUCUAUAUUAUAUUCUCUUUUACUCUCUUUUACUUGUUUCAAUCAUUUUGACUGUGGCCAUGGUGGAGCACCGCCUUUAGUCAAGCAAAUCGACCCCAGGACUUAUUCUUUGUAAGCCCAGUACUUAUUCUAUCGGUCUCUUUUGCCGAACCGCUAAGUUACGGGGACGUAAACACAACAGCAUCGGUUGGUCAAGCGAUGUUGGGAGGAAAAACACAGACACACAAACACACACACAUAUAUCUAUAUAUAUACAUAUACGAUGGGCUUCUUUCAGUUUCUGUCUACCAAAUCCACUCACAAGGCUUUGGUCAGCCCGAGGCUAUUGUAGAAGACACUUGCCCAAGGUGCCAUGCAGUGGCACUGAACCCGGAACCAUGUGGUUGGUAAGCAAGCUACUUACCCCUACAGCCACAUAUUGAUGAAAUAAUUUAUGUGCAAAUGAUCCUUUAAUGGGGAUCAAUCUGUCAUCAGCAACUAUUUGUAGUGUAUUUAAUUUCUUUCAAUCAUAGCAAGGAGGCAUUGAAAGUCUGUUGAUAAGAAAAUAUUGGUCGAUUGUUUAAAAAGUUUGAAAAGCAUAUCUUUUCUCCACUUAAAUGACAGCUUCAAGCUAAAGUCAAUAAAGGGCCUCAUCAGAGAAGCCUUAUCAGCAUUAUAAUUCUCUGAGGAAAUCGACCCACUGGGCCCUAAAGUCCAUAGUAAUUGAUGGCAAAGCACAGCAUAGAGAGAUUAGAACUGAGCUCCUAGUUCCCGUGAGGACCCUAAGCAACAGUCUGGUGCAUCCAUGCCUUAAGAUAGCACCAGCCUUCACCUCAGUCACUAGACAUGCUAAAAAUAGCAGCCAAAUUGCCCUGUACCAUACUGUAAGUGGGAAGGAUCAUGUAAUGUCCUAGGUACAUUUCUAAAUAUAAGAGAUGGUCAUGACUGGAAUGCUUUUGAUCAUUGGUUCACUCAAAUCAACAACAGUCAUUACUAAGCUGUUUCCAAAAACAGAGGAAUUGUCUCACUCCUCUGAUUAAAUAAUGAUGAAAUAGAAAUCAUCACAAUAAAGAGAGGAAUAUAUACUUACGUUUAUGAGUAUGAGCGAGAGAUAGAGAGAAUGAGAGAGAGGGCUACAUUUAUAGGUAUCAAUUUUAGCUAAACUCAAAGCAGAAUCUUAUAAGCUAUGGGAGGCAACUCUAGCAAACUAAAUAUAUGCUAACUAGAGGAUUUUAGCGACAAGAUGGCACAAUCAAUAGAGCAAAAUAGUAUGUUUUGUGGUAUUCGUUACGGUUCUCUUCACUCUAAGUCCAAAUUCUACCAAGACAGAUUUGUUUUUUUUUCGAUAUCGAUAAAUAAAGUGCAAAACAAUACUGAUUGGGGUUCUUUUACCCGCAGUAUAUUGUUACACCCACCUUAAAACACCCGCUUGAUGCUAAGUUAGAUUGGCUCUUUCCUCGCAAUUAUAGGCUGUCUUAAAUUAAAAACACCACCUUAAACCUGUUCUUGUAGAAUGCAAUCUACUGAGCAUCUCCCUAGGUCUUUGUAAAUCACCUUAUCUCUUCAUCUCUUUAUAACACCGUGUACGUAAUAUCUACAUGUUAUAUCUAUAUUAUACAACUAUGGCAAGCACUAGAGUUGAUUUAAAUGAUAGAUACGAUUAUCUGUUCGAUUUUUUUUUUCAUCUGUAGCAAUUGACAGACAAAUUAUUAUAGUACUGCUUGUACUUUAAGGGCGGAUGAUAGUAUAAAAGCAAACGGCUACGGUAUUCCUCUGAGAAGCAGAAAUACCCUACCCCCACACUUAUCAGGUAUUAUUAUUUCUGAAAGACAUUGUAUUUUAUGCAAUCCGCAGUAGAAAGGCCUAAUGACUAAAUAUUUAUCAGAUAUACAAGCUUCUCAAAGCUUUCUGAUUCUACCUUAACCAACCAAUACCAUUACCCACCACAGAGGCGUCAGGUGAUUCCUGUGAGGGUAAUUUGCUGUUCCAACACCUUAGCCUAGCCAUCGCUCAUGGUAAUGUCGCCAGUGCGUUGGCUUGCUUCAGUUGGUUCUGCUGAACCUUGUGAUGUGCGACCAAUUGAAGCAUUUGGUGUUGAAUGGAUGAUUUCUGUUUUGUUUUUGUUGAAUUGAUGUUUUUUCCUUUUUUUUCUUUCUUUGUCCCUUUUUUUUGCGUUUUAUUCCUUUCGGUUUUGUAUCUAUAUUUCAUAAAAUUGUUUUUGGACGGAGGUAAGGAAUACGUAUACCACCCAUUUUCGGCGUAACAAAACCCCUAACCCUAAUCUUAACUAUAAACACCGGGUGUACGAAUUGUUUACUUUCGCCUGUUUUUGUACAUAUAAUAUUAAAGAAUAUUAAAACACGCUAUAAAACAGUAAAGAAUAUUAAAACACGUUAUAAAACAGUAAAAGAAAGAAAGAAAGGGGAGAGAGAGAGAGAGAGAGAGAGAGAGAGAGAGAGAGAGAUAGAUAGAUAGAUAGAUAGAUAGAUAGAUAGAUAGAUAGAUAGAUAGAUAGAUAGAUAGAUAGAUAGAUAGAUAGAUAGAUAGAUAGAUAGAUGGAACUUUUUGUGACCCUUCUGCCUUUAGUAACAAUUAAAUAAUGAAGAGCUUAUUGCAUACGAUGCUCAGAUGCACUACAACUAGCAGUUGUAAAAUGAUAAACAGGCGGCAGACAACAGCAAUAAGUCAAGAGAAGAGACACAGUUGAAAGCUAAAAGUGUAUGUACAGUACACAGAACAAAACACAAAAUGACAGAUAAGCGGACAUUAAAAGAACGAUAAAAGAACCAGAAAGGGGGCAUAGAGAAAGUUUAUGUCCCUUUUUUAAAAUUCACAAUUUCGCCCCAACCACUCCUACGAAAAAAUUGUCUUGGCCAAGGUACGUAUUUUCAGUUACGUUGAUGAAUGAGUCAACGAGAAUCGUGCGUCUUUGUCAUGAGAAAAGUGCAGUGAUAGAAUGAAUACUAACAACACUUCAGUAAACUGUAAAAUAAGCGCUGGCAUUUACUGCAGGAGGAGAGCAAGAAAAUUUUAAUUCUUCGUCAUACGACGCACUGCAGCGAGGAAAGAAAAACAUUGCAUCAACGUUAAAAUCGGCCAAACGGUGUCAAGGGGGACAACUCUAAUUCUCAAAUGCUGACAAUUGAUUAACGAAUUCGAAAUUUCAACUAAAAUUAGAAACAGGCAUGGAAUUAUGGGGAAAGUGAUAAUCUUGCGCAAGGUAAUUCAAGGUAUUUGAUCGUUUGUAUGUGUGCUUGUGUAUGUGUGUGUCUGUCUGUGUGUGUGGGGGAGAGAGAGAGAGAGAGAGAGAGAGUGCUGCUCUGCGUUUCUCUGAAUAAACAAUGUUUAUACAUCUGAGGCGGCGAGCUGGCAGAAUCGUUAGCACACCGGGCGAAAUGCGUAGCCGUAUUUCGUCUGCCGUUACGUUCUGAGUUCAAAUUCCACCGAGGUCGACUUUGCCUUUCAUCCUUUCGUGGUCGAUAAAUUAAGUACCAGUUACGCACUGGGGUCGAUAUAAUCGACUUAAUCCGUUUGUCUGUCCUUGUUUGUCCUCUCUGUGUUUAGCCCCUUGUGGGUAGUAAAGAAAUAGAUAUCUGAAUGUACAGGUGCAGGACGUUUGAUCUCACGAUUGUGAAUUGUUUUCUGAGAAGCGGUGGCGCGUUGCUCCUUUGAGCGAACUACUUUAUUUCACGCAACUUUUCUUUUCACUCAGUUGAAAACGUAAGUACCAGCGACAGCUGGAGUAAAAAAGGUUAACCCUGCAGCUUAUUAGCGCCCCUUUCACAAGAGGAAGAAGAAGAAGAGCUUACUACUUUCACUCAUUUCAAUACCAUGGAAACCGAGGUAAACUCGGACCUAAUGGGCCUGCAGACUCGAGAAGGACUUUUAACAGGCGAUCUUUCGGUACAAGUACCACAACUGCCAAUUAUAAACCCACGUGGGUUUAUUUACAUUUCUGAAGAAAAAAGAAACCCUUUUUCCUCACCCCUAAUCCUACAUAUAAAAAAAAAAAAAAACUUUACGGAGAGUGACGAUCUUCUUCAAAUGUAAACAAACAGACGUUGCAAUUAUGGUACUUGUACCGAAAGAUCGCCCUUUUAAUUUUUCUACGCACUAGUUGAUGUUUUGAGAUAGCAUUUCCAGCCAGUCUGUGUCAUAAAUAAAUAAAUAAAUACUAGUUACCUUCGCCUUAGCGAAGGCAGAGGUAUUGUUUCAGUCAUAUUUGUUUGUCCGUGGACAAGAUAUCUCAAGAACCGCUGAAUGAAUUCAGAUAAAACUUUCAGGGAUGUUUGGCCUCAUGACUGGUAUGAACUGAUUACAUUUGGGGAUCGAUCCAGUACUGGACAAGGAUUUUGGAUAAUUUUUCUGAUUUUUAAAAAUUAAUUUUUGAGAGGGGUUGGGUUCAUUUUUAGUAUGAUUGUGGGAACAGUCGAGUUUAUUUCUAAUAUUCUCAUUUAAAAAAUCAUCUCUGGUUAAUCAUAGAGAAUAUGUUGGUGUUGCCUUGGCGGAGGUUUGCGCUCUUUGAGUGCUCUUGUUAUUAAUUAUAUUAAGCAUACCCUUGCCCAAAGUGUAUAAUCUUCUACCAAAGUUAAAAGUCAGUAUUAUCACUUAUUUUAUUUUUAUUUUAUUCAUUCAUUUAUUUAUCUUAUCUUUUUUUCUUCUUUUCAGUAUUUCACAUCAGCAAAAUCUUUCAUGAAGGUAAGCAUAAAAUGUA